RNAcentral lists this ribosomal RNA (303 nucleotides) under uncultured bacterium. Its description in RNAcentral is "partial 16S ribosomal RNA". It matches the Rfam family "Bacterial small subunit ribosomal RNA", at positions 507 to 808 of the family's 1533-position model. The record is from RNAcentral.
AGCAGUCGCCGCGGUAAUACGUAGGGGGCAAGCGUUAUCCGGAAUAACUGGGCGUAAAGGGUGCGCAGGUGGUUUAACAAGUUAGUGGUGAAAGGCAUAGGCUCAACCAAUGUAAGCCAUUAAAACUGUUUAACUCGAGUGCAGGAGAGGAAAGUGGAAUUCCUAGUGUAGCGGUGAAAUGCGUAGAUAUUAGGAGGAAUACCAGUGGCGAAGGCGACUUUCUGGACUGCAACUGACACUGAGGCGCGAAAGCGUGGGGAGCAAACAGGAUUAGAUACCCCAGUAGUCCCUGUCUCUUAUACC